RNAcentral lists this ribosomal RNA (391 nucleotides) under uncultured bacterium. Its description in RNAcentral is "bacterial SSU rRNA". It matches the Rfam family "Bacterial small subunit ribosomal RNA", at positions 28 to 420 of the family's 1533-position model. The record is from RNAcentral.
GACGAACGCUGGCGGCGUGCUUAACACAUGCAAGUCGAGCGGUAAGGCCCUUUCGGGGGUACACGAGCGGCGAACGGGUGAGUAACACGUGGGUGACCUGCCCUCAGCUCUGGGAUAAGCCUGGGAAACCGGGUCUAAUACUGGAUAUGACUCCAUGACGCAUGUUGUGGGGUGGAAAGCCUUGUGCGGCUGAGGAUGGGCCCGCGGCCUAUCAGCUUGUUGGUGGGGUGANGGCCUACCAAGGCGACGACGGGUAGCCGGCCUGAGAGGGCGACCGGCCACACUGGGACUGAGACACGGCCCAGACUCCUACGGGAGGCAGCAGUGGGGAAUCUUGCGCAAUGGGCGAAGGCCUGACGCAGCGACGCCGCGUGAGGGAUGACGGCCUCGG